AUGAGCAUUGGCCAGAGCAUCUGCAGAAUGCUAUUCAUAAGCUCUGGCUUAUGUAUGAGCAUAGCCAGCAUGAAAACAGGAUGGCAUGUCUGGAGCAUAUAUGAGAAGCUUGUUGAAGAUGUGAACAACCUCUUGGAUUAUAAGAAUAGCCAGCCUGAGGUAAACCAGAAGAAUGAUGCUGACAACAUUUCAGUUAGUGUGGAAAGCAGCAUGACAAAGGAUGCUGAGAUAAAAAAAUUAAAGGCUGUUGUUGACCAGUUAAAGCAAAUUCAUGUAGCUCAAGCCACUGUCAUUAGGAAUUUGAAGUUCAACCAUCUUAAGGAGAAGGAAAAGUUGAGCUCUGAUAAGAGGACUUUGGAGAUUUGCUAUGCUGACCUGAAGAAAGAGAAGGAUGACCUAAAGAAAGAGAAGGAUAAGCUGGAUUGUUGCAUUGCUGAGCUGAUGAAAGUGAAGGAGAAGUUGACCAUGGAGAAGAGUACUCUUGCUUCCUGCAUUGUUGAGCUCAAGACAGCAGGUGAUAGCAACAAGAGGAAGCUUCACCAGAUUAAGGCUAUUUGUGAUGAGGACUAA
Molecule: ribosomal RNA, 570 nt
Filed under: Triticum aestivum (bread wheat)
Lineage: Eukaryota; Viridiplantae; Streptophyta; Magnoliopsida; Poales; Poaceae
Description: partial small subunit ribosomal RNA
Source: RNAcentral